Alosa alosa (allis shad) is the source of this 3074-nucleotide long non-coding RNA. RefSeq lists it as uncharacterized. The transcript has 3 exons. The record is from RefSeq and is a predicted model, not a curated record. Lineage: Eukaryota; Metazoa; Chordata; Actinopteri; Clupeiformes; Clupeidae.
GUCAGACUUGCCAACUGCAGCUUUAAGGUUCUUGCAGAGACCUUUAAGAGCAUCAAAGCACGUUUGAGUUCUGAGAAGACCCCCUGGGUUCUUGGAGGAACAUUGAGGUUCUUCAAGGAACUAUCCAAUUUUUACAGUGUAGCCUAUAUGUGUUGGCUUUGUUGCGUGCAUUAAGUGUGGCACGGUGCUCGCCUAUGACAGCAGAAAAACAGGGACUUUGACUAUGAACAGACACAUGACAUGAAGCAGACCAACAGAUAUUAGUGCUGAAUUCUUCUCUUUCUGCUGACGAAGAAACGAAUGUCCGCCAUGUUUUUUUUGUGCAUGCACAAUGCAUUUUUUGUCACGCAUCAUACAGGGUGUGAAUUGCCCAGCUGUGUGGCCAAGGCCAAUUGUACCAGGGGUGCAAAUAGUGACUCCGUUAUUGUAAUGAGGCCAGACAUGACUGUUCUUUGAUGGCAAAAUAUUGAAAAAAAAAUUCUGUUAAAGUCUAGACAACAAUGAUAUCACUGACCAAGGAGUUGAAAGAAUUCAAGAGGAAUUCCUGAAAAAAAGGCUGUACAGAGAAAGUCUUUCUCUUUAACAACCCGGUGUUGGAUGCUGAAGCCUUUGUGAUGGACAGUCACUUUGAAAUGUUGCCAAGUCUUGAUGAUGACAAAGAAACCGAUCAGGAACAAAAGCAGCCACCUGGCAAGGCUGCUCUAAAGGUAGGCUAUAGUAAACAUUGUAAAUUAUUGAUGUUCACACUAGUAUACUUCUAACAUUUACAUUUGCUCUGAAAUCUUAACUGAUCAGUACAUUUAGAUCGAAGAAUAGAAAGAUAGCCUGCACUUUUCUUUUUCCAGCACCCUUGUUUGAUGGAAGAGAUUGACCCAGAAAUAUCUGUCUGUAAUGGCAAGAUGUCCUACAGAUUUCAGGCGUCCACUGGGGGGACAUUUUACUGCAAAGCUACAGGAUUGAAGUUUGUACUGAGGAAACAAGCACAUGUAGAAUAUUGUGUGGUCCCUUAUGACACAAAUAUCAGGUCAUUGGACCAUUAUGAACCUGCAGGACCUCUAUUUGACAUUACAUGCUCCAAAAGAGAAAUGUGCCAACUUCAUCUGCCACACUGUGAAACUGAGGGUGAGUCACACAUCUACAUAUAGCUGUGUUUUAUGGUGUAUUUAUUUGCCAUUACUUAUGUUAUUGUUUAUUAUUUCAACUUUGUCAUCUAUGCCUGUUUCAUCAGCGGACGCUAUUGGAGACUUGGUCGUAAUGCACAGCUUUGCAAACGGCAAAAAGUUUCUUACAUCAAUAAAGUUUACCCAAACACAUGUAGCUGUUCGAAUCCAUGGGCUUUGUAAGUUUGGGAUAUUGCGUAAAAAACAAAGAAAACCAUCUUGCCGACCAUCUGGCCGUGUCCUUGGCCAAGUGCUUCUCUUCCUUGAUCCCUGCAUAACUGAUACUGAACACAGGCUUUGGGUGUUCAUGUUGUCUCGAAAUGUGCCUCUUGCUGAGGUAUAGUAGCUGGCUUCACUUGAUUUUCUAUCAAUUAAGUGGUUUUCAGACUGUUUGUAAUUAUCUCAUUUAACUGUUUGUAACUAUUUGUCACAGAUCCAAGAGCAACAGAAGGAGUAUGUUUUCAUCAAAACAAGCUCCAACUGUAUUUUAAGACGCAAUGGAAAGUACAAGUUGAUCACAGACUCAAAAAAGCCUGCAGUGCAGCCCAAGGUGAAUAAGCAAAGAUAAGCAAAAAUAAGCAAUUCUGGGAUAUUUUAAAAAGCCUGCCUUAUGUUUCAUGUUCUUCAUGUGUGCCUGUGUAUGUGAGUGCCAAAUAUAUGUUUCGUGUUGUGCGCCUUGUAGCAGUCAUUAAUGUAGAUAAUGCUGAUAAUGUAGUCUGUACCAAAAAUGUUUUUGGGAAUAAUGUAAAUAAGUUAUUGGGGCCUAUCGUGCACCUUGCGCAACAAUAUUUAAAUAAAGUUCAAGUAAUAGGCAAGUGCAGAUGCAUGUUGGUUAUAUACUCACACAUACUCUCAUAUACAGGUAAAACACAGGUUUUAGUAAAGCAAGUAGUGUUCUAGUGGAAUUCUGCAAGCAGAUUCCUUCAGAUGACUGUCAGAUGACAUUGACUGUCAAAAUACCGACAGGCUAUUUGAUGUUGUGUGCUGGCUCUUAAAGGGAAUGACAGAUGUCAUUCUCAUUGGUUUAAAAGAUAUGUUACCCCCAAAACACACCCAUGACUGAUUAAGAAACAUAAGAUCAACCCUUUUGCGCCCAGCAUUUGAUCACAAAAUCACACCAUUAAAUUAGUGAAUGUGGACUGGACACGCCUUAAAUGUCUUAAAACUUUUUGCCUCCGACCAGACGUUUCAAAUUGCCAACAUAAGGCCCAUUAUAUUAUUGGCUGGUUAUUAUGUUAUAAGCUGGGUUUUAAAAUAAAAUCAUGAAAAAUGUAAUAACUUAUAACUUUAUAUAAUAUGACCGCCGCUAGCCUAGAAACUUGAUGGGCAUGUAGCACCACUAGGCUGAUGAGGAAAAAGCUUGGUCAUGCAAUAAAAGCUUGGUCAUGCAAUUCAGAUUAAUAAGACCACUGUUGCAUCCAGCAGCCUUGUAGAGCUUCAUAACACUAAUAUUCUCUUUGUCCAGUUCCAAACUCUCUGCAAGUACCUCUAUUAUGUACAGAUUGGAAUGAAAUGGUUUAGAUAGUUCACAGAGGCUUGAUGUCAUAUCUAGAUAGACAUAUCUAGAUUGAGAUCAAUCAAUAAUUCUUGAUAAGAUUUCUGAUAGUAGAUAUUGAACCCCAGGCUGAUUACCAACAUCCUACCAUAUCAGACAUAGGCUGAACAGGGUUAGCUAGAAGCCCAGGAUCAGGCUGAGAUAGAACGCUAGAUUGAACAUCAGACAGAGGUUCGCAUUAGACAGAGGGCAUGGUUGGGGGGUCAAUUCUAAGGUAUGAGCUACACCAGGCGCGUAACUGAAGCAUUCUGUUUGCGACGCGUGAAAUCCAUUUUAAAAGACUGGUCAAUUUCUUUCGAACGUACGCGCCGCUAUCACGUCAGGUGUAGCUACUUCCAUUGAUUAAGGUGGCAGCUAAU